AUGCAAACAAUCGGCUAUAGAUCCAUUGUAAAUAAUGCCGCGAAGGAUGAAAACUGGAAUCAUAAUAUUAUGUGUGAUGUUACUCUUCUUUAUUUGUUUGUAGUAGUGAUCAAAUUCCCUUGCAAGUUGUCAUUUACACUAUAUUCAGGAGCAAGCAACACUUUGGAUACUCUCAUUUCUUAUAUCCUGUACGAAAAUACUUGUAUUGUAUCUGUUCAAAAAAAAAAAAUACUUACAGUAUUCUCAUCAACACAGGAACAAGAUGAAGAAAACAUUGACAGUUUCAAUUUUCCUGCUACAAGUUAA
This 306-nucleotide ribosomal RNA is filed under the name Triticum aestivum (bread wheat). Its description in RNAcentral is "partial small subunit ribosomal RNA". Lineage: Eukaryota; Viridiplantae; Streptophyta; Magnoliopsida; Poales; Poaceae. The record is from RNAcentral.